CAUGUAGGCGGAUAUGCAAGCUUGGUGUGAAAGGCAGGGGCUUAACUCCUGGACUGCGUUGAGAACUGCAUAACUAGAGUAACUGAGGGGCAACCGGAAUUCCAGGUGUAGGGGUGAAAUCUGUAGAUAUCUGGAAGAACACCAAUGGCGAAGGCAGGUUACCAGCAGAUUACUGACGCUGAGGUGCGAAGGUGCGGGGAGCAAACAG
RNAcentral lists this ribosomal RNA (208 nucleotides) under uncultured Treponema sp. RNAcentral describes it as "partial 16S ribosomal RNA". It matches the Rfam family "Bacterial small subunit ribosomal RNA", at positions 568 to 775 of the family's 1533-position model. The record is from RNAcentral. Lineage: Bacteria; Pseudomonadati; Spirochaetota; Spirochaetia; Treponematales; Treponemataceae.